RNAcentral lists this long non-coding RNA (1218 nucleotides) under Homo sapiens (human). RNAcentral's name for it is "hepatocellular carcinoma up-regulated long non- coding RNA". Lineage: Eukaryota; Metazoa; Chordata; Mammalia; Primates; Hominidae. The record is from RNAcentral.
UUGGAGCCAGAUUUUAAAAUCCUUGUCUUCCUUCUGCGUGCUACUUGAUCUAAAUGAGAUACGGCAAAGUCACAGAACCUGUUUUUAUGUUUUUGCCUGAUUCAUACGGGCUUCUCCGGUGAAGAUGGGCCUGAAGUAACGCUUGGGUUGCUUCUGACGUUAUAACUCAUCCUGUAGCUGCAGCAACCGUGGUCCUUGCAACCUCAUAAAAAUGUUGCCAGCAUUGUUUCGAUAGUGCUGCUUAAUUCUUGGAAGGUUCUUCGGACUUCACACAUUCCAGCAGUAGCUCUCUCAGCUCCUGUCCUGCACAGCUUUGAAGUGCUGGUGAUGUCAUUGAACUCUUAAGUGCAAGAUGAAACAAGUCUUUCUGGGGUUCUAAGUAGCGUCUUCAAAGUGUCUUCUGUAAAGACUUCUUCAGACUGUCAAUAGGAAGACUGAUAAACUCAGCAACAGUAUCAGAGAAAAGUAUCAAGGAAGGACUAGAACCUUGUCUGUCACUUGCUGUACCCCACCUAUCUUCAAAUCCAGUUGACUCCAAGUGAACUCUGCAAAAUUCCCAGGCUGGAGUGCGAUGGCGCGAUCUCUACUCACUGCAACCUCCAUCUCCUGGGUUCAAGCAAUUCUCCCUCAGCCUCCCGAGUAGCUAGGACUACAGAGCCUCCCUCUGGAGCGAAGUGGCAUAAUCUCGGCUCACUGCAACCUCUGCCUCCCAGGUUCAAGCGAUUCUCAUGUCUCGGCCUCUUGAGUAACUGGGAUUACAGUUUUCCUGGUUUCUUGGCUUCUCUUAUCUUCUUCACCAGAUCAGGAAGACUGGAGCAUUUCCAUGCAUGCCCUUGUCUCUCCUGAGUGCUCUGUGGACUGCACCUAGCUACAAGACAAGGUCUUACUCUGUCACCCAGCCUGGAGUUCAGUGGCGUGAUCAUGGCUUACUGCAAUCUCUGCCUCCCGGGUUCAAGGGACCUUCCUACUUCAGCCUCCCAAGUGGCUGGGACCACAGGCAUGCGCCACCACAUCCAGCUAAUUUUUUUUUUUUUUUUGUAUUUUUGGUGGAGACAAGGUUUUUCCAUGUUGGCCAGGAUGGUCUUGAACUCUUGGCCUCAAGUGAUUCACCUGCCUCAGCCUCCCAAAGUGCUGGGAAUACAGGCGCGAGUCACUGCAUCUGUCCUGUGACUGACUUUUUCAAGUCAGAUCUUUAUUUAUGAUAUGAAAAAAUCUAUC